This 376-nucleotide ribosomal RNA is filed under the name uncultured bacterium. Its description in RNAcentral is "bacterial SSU rRNA". It matches the Rfam family "Bacterial small subunit ribosomal RNA", at positions 28 to 404 of the family's 1533-position model. The record is from RNAcentral.
GACGAACGCUGGCGGCGUGCUUAACACAUGCAAGUCGAGCGGUAAGGCCCUUUCGGGGGUACACGAGCGGCGAACGGGUGAGUAACACGUGGGUGACCUGCCCUUAGCUCUGGGAUAAGCCUGGGAAACUGGGUCUAAUACCGGAUAUGACUCCAUGACGCAUGUUGUGGGGUGGAAAGCCUUGUGCGGCUAGGGAUGGGCCCGCGGCCUAUCAGCUUGUUGGUGGGGUGAUGGCCUACCAAGGCGACGACGGGUAGCCGGCCUGAGAGGGCGACCGGCCACACUGGGACUGAGACACGGCCCAGACUCCUACGGGAGGCAGCAGUGGGGAAUCUUGCGCAAUGGGCGAAAGACCUGACGCAGCGACGCCGCGUGA